AACGAACGCUGGCGGCAAGCUUAACACAUGCAAGUCGAACGGACCGUAUACGCAGCUUGCUGCGUGUAUGGUUAGUGGCAGACGGGUGAGUAAUGCAUAGGAAUCUACCUAGUAGUAUGGGAUAGCCACUAGAAAUGGUGGGUAAUACUGCAUAAUCCCUGCGGGGGAAAGAUUUAUCGCUAUUAGAUGAGCCUAUGUCAGAUUAGCUAGUUGGUGGGGUAAUGGCCUACCAAGGCGGUGAUCUGUAGCUGGUCUGAGAGGAUGAUCAGCCACACUGGAACUGAGACACGGUCCAGACUCCUACGGGAGGCAGCAGUGGGGAAUAUUGGACAAUGGGCGCAAGCCUGAUCCAGCUAUGCCGCGUGAGUGAGGAAGGCCUUAGGGUUGUAAAACUCUUUCAGUAGGGAAGAUAAUGACGGUACCUACAGAAGAAGUCC
This 437-nucleotide ribosomal RNA is filed under the name uncultured Anaplasma sp. RNAcentral describes it as "bacterial SSU rRNA". It matches the Rfam family "Bacterial small subunit ribosomal RNA", at positions 29 to 493 of the family's 1533-position model. Lineage: Bacteria; Pseudomonadati; Pseudomonadota; Alphaproteobacteria; Rickettsiales; Anaplasmataceae. The record is from RNAcentral.